GUCACGGGUCGGUUGUAGGCGAAAGGGUACUUGGCCUUGUUCUUUGCUCAACCUAUGGUGAUACUCAAUACAAGUUCAUAAGGGAGCUCACAACCUGUGUAGAGAAUUAGAAAUAAAAGAAAAGACUGAAAUCUUCCUCCCUGUUUAUUCUUAUUCCAUCCUAUGUAUAAAUACACAAAUAGUGGGUUCUUAUUUUUAGGAAUUACAAUUGAUUGCUUAAUUGGCUCAUAUAAUUCAGAAAUUUAAAUUUAAAACAUAGGAACUAUUUACUGCAUAAUUCCUGCAAAGGACAUCCCGAAAUAAUUGACUGGUCCUCGUUGAUUCCUGCUUGUCAUGCUUGGAGGAUGGGACACCUGCUUCUGGAGUAAGAUCAGGUGACCAAAUGACAUACUACUGACCUUGCAGUUGCUGGCCUUCAACCCGGUUGCCCUGGAUGAGUGCUACCUAUCCUUCGAUUGACCAGUCCUCCCUUUCUACCCUGCCUGCUAUAUGCUUGACCCCAGCACCUAUCUGUUGCUAGGCAUGUAUUAGAUUUCAUGGGUAUUGCUGAUAUAGAGUGUUGGAGCUAUUAUGCAGAGUAUUUGCUCCUACUAUUGUGCCCUUUGGGUAUGGUGUUAAGGGAGUUUAUUCAGGAUCAAUAUAAUGUUUAAAAUUUAAAUCAGCUGAUAUGUAUGCUUUUGUUAAUAUGAGUAGCAUAAUCAAUCUAUGUCAAGCUAUCCAUCUGACCAAAUCUACCUCUCUGGACAAAUUUUGUUUUAAGAUCUCUGUGUGUGUGGGGUUGUGUAGUGAUUCCUUUGUAACUCUACUUACAUGAUUGUUCUUCACAUGUUUGAUUGCUAACUUUGAUGGUUUUCUUGUUCUCAGUGUAUAAUAA
This 874-nucleotide unclassified non-coding RNA is filed under the name Hevea brasiliensis (rubber tree). Lineage: Eukaryota; Viridiplantae; Streptophyta; Magnoliopsida; Malpighiales; Euphorbiaceae. The record is from RNAcentral.